Long non-coding RNA from Dermacentor silvarum, 323 nucleotides. RefSeq lists it as uncharacterized. NCBI's taxonomy places the organism in Eukaryota, Metazoa, Arthropoda, Arachnida, Ixodida, Ixodidae. The record is from RefSeq and is a predicted model, not a curated record. The transcript has 3 exons.
UAUGUGUGCGGGUUGCGUGAUGAGCUUGCUGCGUUUUCUGUGCCCUUUGCCUCGCUGUGACAUCUUUGGUAUAUUACAACUUAUUGCUCGGUCUUAAUGGGCUACACGUUGCCUCGAAGAUCACCAUGAUCGCCUCCGACUCAGCCACAUCGAAGAAUCAAAAUGAGCCUGGAGACGCCACAGCCGGAAUGCGAAUGGUUGGAGAAGUGCUCAUUCAGAUGAUCCUGGCACAGCUUGCCAUGGUGGACCAGGCAAGUUUGCAAGGGCCUUGAUUCACCAUGUGUUCACAGAGAACCUCAUGGGCCACUCACUUCUCGCAAACA